GAUGAACGCUGGCGGCGUGCCUAAUACAUGCAGGUCGAGCGAACAGACGAGGAGCUUGCUCCUCUGACGUUAGCGGCGGACGGGUGAGUAACACGUGGAUAACCUACCUAUAAGACUGGGAUAACUUCGGGAAACCGGAGCUAAUACCGGAUAAUAUAUUGAACCGCAUGGUUCAAUAGUGAAAGACGGUUUUGCUGUCACUUAUAGAUGGAUCCGCGCCGCAUUAGCUAGUUGGUAAGGUAACGGCUUACCAAGGCGACGAUGCGUAGCCGACCUGAGAGGGUGAUCGGCCACACUGGAACUGAGACACGGUCCAGACUCCUACGGGAGGCAGCAGUAGGGAAUCUUCCGCAAUGGGCGAAAGCCUGACGGAGCAACGCCGCGUGAGUGAUGAAGGUCUUCGGAUCGUAAAACUCUGUUAUUAGGGAAGAACAAAUGUGUAAGUAACUAUGCACGUCUUGACGGUACCUAAUCGGAAAGCCACGGCUAACUACGUG
Molecule: ribosomal RNA, 497 nt
Filed under: uncultured bacterium
Lineage: Bacteria
Description: partial 16S ribosomal RNA
Rfam family: Bacterial small subunit ribosomal RNA
Source: RNAcentral